GCAGAAUGGGGAAGUCAACGGGCGGCUGGCGAGCGCCACAAGGAAAGGGGAAGGCGGGCGAGGGGAAGGAGCCGAGGAGACGGUGCAGACGUGGGGUUGUCAGAAACGGGCGGAGGACGGUGGAAGGGCUCAUCGGCCAGCACAGGAGCAAUUGGCUGCGGAGACACUGGGAGCACCGGGGAAGCCGGCUGAGUGCAAGGAGGACCCGGAGGAUGUGAUGGAGCAGGACAAGCCUCAGCGUUAAUAAGGCAGCCGAGCCGUGUCGGAAGUUAAGAAAAUGAACUGCGUGCUGGAAGGAAAAGGUUUGGGGGCACCCAGGGUAAGGAGGGGCGUGGAAGAGAUCGGCCCAGGGGCUCUAGAGAGAACUGGGGCAGGAGGCUGCCAGCCGACCGGGCGGGUUUGUGAAGGCCAGGUGCUGGCGUGAUGGCAGAAUGCUUCUUAAACACAACAUUGAAACGUGACAUUGUGACAGGCCAUGGCAGAAAGGCCAGGCAGGGGAGAAACUUGUCCAGGCACUAAGUCAAUGGGUUCCCCAAGGGUGCCGGACAGCACCUGGUUCCACCCAGUUCUGUAGGGGGAGAUGGGCCAGAGACAGCAGUUUCCUCCCAGACCCUGCACAAAGCAGGUUGGACGAAGUAUGGGUAUUUUCGGAGUUCACUGUAUUCCAAAUGCGAAUGGGUCUGGAGUCUGGGACGUGAUUCCUCUGGGGGAGACGUGACUCCAGCAAACCCUGGGAAGGGUCAGGACUGUCACAGGACACUUGUAAAGCAACCGACCAGCCAAGGAGGAGCUGUUGGGCCAAACAAAGCAAUGGGUUUCUAGGAAAUCCCUGUGGGGUGGGGAUGCAAAUUCCCACCUCUGCCCCCGGCCUUUCAAAGUGAUGCCCUGAGGAGUGAGCCAGUGGCUGCGAAUGACCUGUUCCCAGAUCGAGGGACCGGCCUGCAGCACUCACAGAUUCCCAGGGGACGUGUUCACAGCAGAAGCUGUGCUGAGCUUGGAAGCACUGAAAAGCCCCUGGGUGGGUUUGACGGUCUGCAUCCCAGCCGGAGCCCUGGCUGGAGUCAGGGGAGGGAUCCCUGGUAAGCCUAGUAGCAGGCGGGUGGGUUCACUGAUUGGUUUAACCCGUGUUCUCGACAGUGCUGUCACCAUAAGCACCGAGGUGCUGCUUGGGGGAAGCUUGGUGGGGCCGAAGCUGUGGGGCUCACGGGGCUUGUAGCCUUGGAGGGGGCAGAAAAGCGGCCGGCUCGGCCAGUCUGAUUUGGUGGGGAUAUCACAGUGCCAACAGGAAACCGGGAAGCCUGGAGCACCCGGCAGGAGGGAGAGCGAGACGGGUCCUGCCCAUGAGAGGUGGCGGCUGGCAUGCCAGGAGCCCAGGGCGGGUGCCCUGGCUGGCCUACGGAGGCGCAGGACCGGUGCAGUUGCCCUGAGUGGCGACACCGUCAUCGCCCCUUCCUCAGCUACAUGGAGCUCCGGCCAUCUCCUAGCCUGGGGUGGCUACAGCCCCCGCUACUGGGCUGUGAGGCUCACAGCACCUGGCACUCGACUGCCCUUCUCCCGAGCGAUCUCACUGGGUUGUGCAAGCGAGGCCGUGUCAUUAUCUCCACUUCAGAGAGGGAAACUGAGGCACUGGACAGGGCCGGGACUUGGCCAAGGUCACCCCAUGGGCAGCCCGCGUCCACACACAAACGCUGUAGGAGUGUAACUGUACCAGGCUAGUUAACACAUUACAGCCCCGGUGGGGGUACAAUUAUAGCCCUGCAACCGGGCUAGAACUAUUCCCGGAUGAGAAGAGUAGACGGGUCUGACCCUGGUACCAGGCACCUGUAUCCUGGUGUCACUGCACACACACUGCUGUUGUACUGGUAUAACUGUAUCAGCAAAACCGACCCCACCUGGACAAAAGUGUAUGGGGUAGACUGGAAACUUUGGGACAGGACUGUGUCUCGCUCUGUGUCUGCAGAGCCUGGCACAAAAGGACUUGGUCACUGUGUGUCUGUGCAGCGCCUGGCACGACGGGGCCCUGAUCUCAGUCAGUGUGUGUCUGGGCAGUGCCCAGCCCGACGGGGCCCCGAUCUCAGUCACUGUGUGUGUGGGCAGCGCCCAGCCCGAUGGGGCCCCGAUCUCGGUCACUGUGUGUUUGGGCAGCGCCCGGCGCGACAGGGUCCUGAUCUCGGUCAUUGUGUGUAUGGGCAGCGCCCGGCGUGACGGGGCCCUGAUCUCUGUCACUGUGUGUGUAUGGGCAGUGCCUGGCACGAUGGGGCCCUGAUCUGGGUCACUGUGUAUCUUGGCAGUGCCUGACAUGACGGGGCCCUGUGACUGGCACACAAACCGCCCCCGGAGAGGGAGGGUUUAGAGAACUGCCCUGGGCCCUGGUGGCAGAGUUGCCAAGAGUCCCUUAUUACAAGGGACGUCCCUUAUCUUUCCAUCUCCAUCCAACAAGACCGGGAGCUGCUGAGUGCUGCAAAAUGCAGCAAGAAAGAUGCCUAGCGAAGGCAGGUGAGUCCUGCAUGUCGAUGAUGUUGAUGAUAAUCUCAGGAGGCGAGGUGGCAUCGGGGUGCUAAGAAAACACCCCUUGUUUGGUAAAUAAAAUGUAGGCUUGAGCCCUCAGCCAUCCUUUCGGGCAGCUCUGCCCUGCCAAACCCGCAGGGCCCUGCCCGGCCGGAGGAGGAGCUUGGCAGGGAGCAGAGAGCAGCUCCCUUGAAAGGCGCCAGCGGAGGUGAGCAGGGCUGGGAUCGGCAGCUCUGCAGAAGGAGACUGGAGGCAGGCCCAGCGGAUGCUCUACCUGAGCUGCUGAGAGGGAAGGACUCUGGGCAUUUGCAAGGUCGGAGACAUCGCCUCAGGUUUGUUCAGGGCCGAGCGAGAGGAAGAUGCUGCUGCUGACGUCGGUCGUGUGGCUCUUAGCGCUCUGCACCGUGUCACUCGGGAGAGUCCCCAGCUCUGCUGCCCUGAGCGCUGCCAGGCGCCUGAUCCAAUGCGCCGUCUCCAGGGGUUUCCUGAGCCGCAGCUUCACCCUGAAGGGGCACCGCAACGUGAACCCGACCAGCUGCCCCGGGAACAGCCUCUACAGGGUCAUCAGCCAGUGGCCCAGGUUCAAAGCCUGAGUCCCUGCAGCCUCGGGGCAGCCCCUGCGCCCAUCGCUGACCCCAUCCGCAGCUUCUGCCUGUUCGAGCAGCACCUCCGCCCCCCAGCAGGGGGCAGCCCCCCGCUUCUCACCUGCCGGCCUGGGAAGGACCCGUUGGGUGGUUCGCACAGUCCUGCAAAGGGGUUUUUAAUUCAAGUGUAGUUUGCCUUUAACCCAGCGCCCCAGCAGCUUAGCGGUUGCUUUGCUUGGGAGCUACUGAGCAGUGACAAUAAACCAGCUUCUAGCACAUGAAAA
This is an RNA transcript of Chelonia mydas (Green sea turtle), 3376 nucleotides long. It is a transcript of the gene named peptidoglycan recognition protein 3, with no coding region annotated. The transcript is spliced from 3 exons. Lineage: Eukaryota; Metazoa; Chordata; Testudines; Cheloniidae. The record is from RefSeq and is a predicted model, not a curated record.